GCGAGGAGGAGAGAGAGAGAGAGAGAGAGAGAGAGAGAGAGAGAGAGAGAUUCAAAAGCCCCUGCUUUUAAAUUUUAGAUGUGAAUUUAAUGUUGAACUGCAUCCUGUGCUACUGAUGAGCAGCUGGUGAAAAUGUUCUCUCUCUCUCUCUCUCUCUCUCUCUCUCUCAGCUCAAAGCAUAGGCAGGGAU
Molecule: microRNA precursor, 190 nt
Filed under: Podarcis lilfordi (Lilford's wall lizard)
Lineage: Eukaryota; Metazoa; Chordata; Lepidosauria; Squamata; Lacertidae
Source: RNAcentral